Long non-coding RNA from Rosa rugosa (rugosa rose), 1201 nucleotides. RefSeq lists it as uncharacterized. The transcript has 4 exons. The record is from RefSeq and is a predicted model, not a curated record. Lineage: Eukaryota; Viridiplantae; Streptophyta; Magnoliopsida; Rosales; Rosaceae.
CCAUGUUGGCAACUCUUCUCCCAGCUUUUGUCGAAAAAAAAGAAAAAAAAACUCUUCUCCCGGCUCCUCUUCUCUGCCUCCCUCUCUCUCAUCUCUUCCACGGCUCUACCCACCUCCACCCACUGCUCUCGCCCAACAUCUCCAAGCUUUGUUUCGACAGAAAAUUUGAACCUCUUGUAUUGGUUUAAAGGAGGACAGAGAAACUAGAUCUGUGUUUCUCUCUCUCCUCCGACACCCACUUCCGGUCACCACCGUGACUCACCUCCACCACCAAGGACUUCACCGACCUCCGACGAGUUCAACGCAGCCUCCUUGACAUCUGGCAGCAAUCCACGCGCCCGCGCCGGGGCCGGCGAGGCCAAGAUCUGAUUUGGGCACCCAUAGCGCCCUCCCAUCGUCUCCGCCUCCCUCCCUGACCUCAAAUCCACCGUCCAUUUCCUCACCUCCAUGGGCUUCUCUACCCCCGAAUUUCGCCGCCUCGUCGGCAUGUGCCCCGAAAUCCCCCCCUGGUUCUCCGAUCUCAACCGCGUCAUAAACCGACGACCCGGAUUGCUCGCCUCCAGCGUUAAGCACCGCAUAUACUGGAAGUAUCAGAUUAUAAUUAAGGAUAGUUUUGUAGGAAUAAAGCUACAAUAUAGCAGGAGGUGGUUUUCUUGUGGGAUAAAGUUUGUAUUAUUAUGCUUUGUGGGUAUCAGAUUUCUCUGAACGUUCAUUGAAAACAACUCCAGAGGAUUCUGCAUUUGUUGAACGGAAUUGGAUUUUGAUGCCCAGAUUCAGAACUCAAAUGUGACAAGGUUGAUUGCCCUAUGAGUACAACUAUUUACUUCUUGCUGCCAGCUAGGAAUGUUGCAAGCCUUCAUUGCAUACUGUGUGCAGAAACAUGGCAUUUCUACCUGGGAGAACCUCUUAUGGAGACAACGAAGAAGAGGAUGAUAUGUUAGGGCAAAGCUCAAGAGGCAUCACAGAGUACUCCUCGAGUCAUACAAGUAACUUUGAAUGACAAGCUUUGUACGAGGAUUAAUGAUAUAGAAGACAUCGAUACCUUGAUUUUCAUGGAUCACCACUUGGGAAGUAUCUUUUGUACAUGUAAUUAAGCAACUAAAUAUCUUCCAAGAUAUUUUUGUUUUUGCAAUUGAGGAACUAUGUAUGUAUAUUAUAACUAAGCUUUAUUUAAUACAAGUCCGACAGUGUUAUUGAUCAA